RNAcentral lists this ribosomal RNA (253 nucleotides) under uncultured bacterium. Its description in RNAcentral is "partial 16S ribosomal RNA". It matches the Rfam family "Bacterial small subunit ribosomal RNA", at positions 524 to 776 of the family's 1533-position model. The record is from RNAcentral.
UACGUAGGGUGCAAGCGUUAAUCGGAAUUACUGGGCGUAAAGCGUGCGCAGGCGGUGAUGUAAGACAGAUGUGAAAUCCCCGGGCUCAACCUGGGAACUGCAUUUGUGACUGCAUCGCUGGAGUACGGCAGAGGGGGAUGGAAUUCCGCGUGUAGCAGUGAAAUGCGUAGAUAUGCGGAGGAACACCGAUGGCGAAGGCAAUCCCCUGGGCAUGUACUGACGCUCAUGCACGAAAGCGUGGGGAGCAAACAGG